UGAGUAACCUGCCCUUGACUCUGGGAUAAGCCUGGGAAACUGGGUCUAAUACCGGAUAGGAACGUCCACCGCAUGGUGGUUGUUGGAAAGAUUUAUCGGUCAUGGAUGGACUCGCGGCCUAUCAGCUUGUUGGUGAGGUAAUGGCUCACCAAGGCGACGACGGGUAGCCGGCCUGAGAGGGUGACCGGCCACACUGGGACUGAGACACGGCCCAGACUCCUACGGGAGGCAGCAGUGGGGAAUAUUGCACAAUGGGCGAAAGCCUGAUGCAGCGACGCCGCGUGAGGGAUGACGGCCUUCGGGUUGUAAACCUCUUUCAGUAGGGAAGAAGCGAAAGUGACGGUACCUGCAGAAGAAGCACCGGCUAACUACGUGCCAGCAGCCGCGGUAAUACGUAGGGUGCGAGCGUUAUCCGGAAUUAUUGGGCGUAAAGAGCUCGUAGGCGGUUUGUCGCGUCUGUCGUGAAAGUCCGGGGCUUAACCCCGGAUCUGCGGUGGGUACGGGCAGACUAGAGUGCAGUAGGGGAGACUGGAAUUCCUGGUGUAGCGGUGGAAUGCGCAGAUAUCAGGAGGAACACCGAUGGCGAAGGCAGGUCUCUGGGCUGUAACUGACGCUGAGGAGCGAAAGCAUGGGGAGCGAACAGGA
This 645-nucleotide ribosomal RNA is filed under the name Micrococcus sp. Its description in RNAcentral is "bacterial SSU rRNA". It matches the Rfam family "Bacterial small subunit ribosomal RNA", at positions 118 to 777 of the family's 1533-position model. The record is from RNAcentral. Lineage: Bacteria; Bacillati; Actinomycetota; Actinomycetes; Micrococcales; Micrococcaceae.